RNAcentral lists this ribosomal RNA (253 nucleotides) under uncultured bacterium. RNAcentral's name for it is "partial 16S ribosomal RNA". It matches the Rfam family "Bacterial small subunit ribosomal RNA", at positions 524 to 776 of the family's 1533-position model. The record is from RNAcentral.
UACGAAGGGUGCAAGCGUUACUCGGAAUUACUGGGCGUAAAGCGUGCGUAGGUGGUUUGUUAAGUCUGUUGUGAAAGCCCCGGGCUCAACCUGGGAAUGGCAAUGGAUACUGGCAAGCUAGAGUGCGGUAGAGGGUAGUGGAAUUCCCGGUGUAGCGGUGAAAUGCGUAGAGAUCGGGAGGAACACCAGUGGCGAAGGCGGCUACCUGGACCGAUGCUGACGCUGAGGCGCGAAAGCGUGGGGAGCGAUCCGG